UGGGGAAUUUUGGACAAUGGGCGAAAGCCUGAUCCAGCCAUGCCGCGUGAGUGAAGAAGGCCUUCGGGUUGUAAAGCUCUUUUAGUCGGAAAGAAAAGAUCGUAAAUAAUACUUGCGAUUAAUGACGGUACCGACAGAAAAAGCACCGGCUAACUACGUGCCAGCAGCCGCGGUAAUACGUAGGGUGCGAGCGUUAAUCGGAAUUACUGGGCGUAAAGGGUGCGCAGGCGGUUUUGUAAGUCAGAUGUGAAAUCCCCGGGCUUAACCUGGGAAUUGCGUUUGGAACUAUAAGACUAGAGUGCAAGAGAGGGGAGUGGAAUUCCAUGUGUAGCAGUGAAAUGCGUAGAGAUGUGGAAGAACACCGAUGGCGAAGGCAGCUCCCUGGAUUGACACUGACGCUCAUGCACGAAAGCGUGGGGAGCAAACA
This 427-nucleotide ribosomal RNA is filed under the name uncultured beta proteobacterium. Its description in RNAcentral is "bacterial SSU rRNA". It matches the Rfam family "Bacterial small subunit ribosomal RNA", at positions 355 to 774 of the family's 1533-position model. Lineage: Bacteria; Pseudomonadati; Pseudomonadota; Betaproteobacteria. The record is from RNAcentral.